GCCCCUUACAACAUGCCUUAAUAAUUUUGUGAUUAUUGUGCUCUUUGAAUAAUAAUUGAAAAAAUAGUCAUUAGAUUAAAAUUCUAUGAGUUCAGGGAAAAUAGAAUAUAAAUUGAAUGGGACAUUAACAUUCAGUUCAGUAGAUACAACAGAGGCAGACAAAUCCUUAACAGGAUAAUAAAUUAUAUGAUCCUUGACAUGGGCAUUGAGUGUGGGUACAUCGUUGCAUUGUGCAUUGAAGUCAGAAGACCCUAAAGUGGCCCCAAAUUUGACAGUGAUGCUUUACAGAUACAAAGAAAAGAAGAUUGCGACACCAAUUUAUUUAAUUUUUAAUACAAAGCCAACAUAGUUAUAAAGGAACAUGUUCAUGUAGUUCACUCUAUGUAAUAGGAUUUGAAUCUAAAACAAAUGUGGGAUCGGUGUCCUUGCGAACACGUGGGUCAGUGGCUGUACGUUGUUUAUAUUGGCGUUUGUUUGUUUUUUAUUUUAUUUUAACAUUGUGAAAAUAUAUAGUGUUCUCCUUUGAAUAAGUUGUAUUUCCAUUCAAUAUUUAUAAAGCACCUUGUUUUUGUAUUUUUCUAAUCCAUUGACUGAUGUCACUUUGGUUUCGUUUACUUAUUUUCGUACACGCCUAUUAAUUACACCAAUCGUAGGUCGUUUAAGAAAACCGGUUGUAAAUCGACCAAUCAGGAGUCUGUUUACAGACGGUGUUCGGGUGCCUUCUGCUGGUUUCUACUUUCAGUAGUUUUCGCCUUACUCUCCUUGUUGAUAGCGAUCCCAGCCUAGGCGUUCGUGACUACUCGGGUCACUUCACGUAGAGGUUAUAAAUAUCAACCACACUUUAUCGGAAAUCCCCUGGUUGUGUCAACAGCGUAAAUUUCCCCUUCAGUCAUUUUUAUUGAUUUUUUAAUUUUACAAUUUUGAGCAAAGUAGGCGGCGGAUUUCCUUCAAGUAGACGACGAAAAUCGCCGCCUACCGCCUUCUAUUGAAAGCCCUGCUUU
Molecule: long non-coding RNA, 1001 nt
Filed under: Mytilus galloprovincialis (Mediterranean mussel)
Lineage: Eukaryota; Metazoa; Mollusca; Bivalvia; Mytilida; Mytilidae
Source: RNAcentral